This 498-nucleotide ribosomal RNA is filed under the name uncultured bacterium. RNAcentral's name for it is "partial 16S ribosomal RNA". It matches the Rfam family "Bacterial small subunit ribosomal RNA", at positions 28 to 507 of the family's 1533-position model. The record is from RNAcentral.
GACGAACGCUGGCGGCGUGCCUAAUACAUGCAAGUCGAACGAGAGCGCCCGGUGCUUGCCCUGGUCAAUCUAGUGGCGAACGGGUGAGUAACACGUGGGUAACCUGCCCAUCAGAGGGGGAUAACAUCCGGAAACGGAUGCUAAAACCGCAUAGGUCUUCGAACCGCAUGGUUUGAAGAGGAAAAGAGGCGCAAGCUUCUGCUGAUGGAUGGACCCGCGGUGCAUUAGCUAGUUGGUGAGGUAACGGCUCACCAAGGCCGUGAUGCAUAGCCGACCUGAGAGGGUGAUCGGCCACAUUGGGACUGAGACACGGCCCAAACUCCUACGGGAGGCAGCAGUAGGGAAUCUUCCGCAAUGGACGCAAGUCUGACGGAGCAACGCCGCGUGAGUGAAGAAGGUUUUCGGAUCGUAAAACUCUGUUGUUAGAGAAGAACAAGUGCUAGAGUAACUGUUAGCGCCCUGACGGUAUCUAACCAGAAAGCCACGGCUAACUACGUG